UAGACCGCCUGGGGAGUACGGCCGCAAGGUUAAAACUCAAAUGAAUUGACGGGGGCCCGCACAAGCGGUGGAGCAUGUGGUUUAAUUCGAUGCAACGCGAAGAACCUUACCUGGUCUUGACAUCCACGGAACUGUAGAGAUGAGAAUGUGCCUUCGGGAACCGUGAGACAGGUGCUGCAUGGCUGUCGUCAGCUCGUGUUGUGAAAUGUUGGGUUAAGUCCCGCAACGAGCGCAACCCUUAUCCUUUGUUGCCAGCGGUCCGGCCGGGAACUCAAAGGAGACUGCCAGUGAUAAACUGGAGGAAGGUGGGGAUGACGUCAAGUCAUCAUGGCCCUUACGACCAGGGCUACACACGUGCUACAAUGGCGCAUACAAAGAGAAGCGACCUCGCGAGAGCAAGCGGACCUCAUAAAGUGCGUCGUAGUCCGGACUGGAGUCUGCAACUCGACUCCAUGAAGUCGGAAUCGCUAGUAAUCGUGGAUCAGAAUGCCACGGUGAAUACGUUCCCGGGCCUUGUACACACCGCCCGUCACACCAUGGGAGUGGGUUGCAAAAGAAGUAGGUAGCUUAACCUUCGGGAGGGCGCUUACCACUUUGUGAUUCAUGACUGGGGUGAAGUCGUAACAAGGUAACCGUAGGGGAACCUGCGGUUGGAUCACCUCCUUACCUGAAAGAA
Molecule: ribosomal RNA, 676 nt
Filed under: Salmonella enterica subsp. arizonae serovar 41:z4,z23:-
Lineage: Bacteria; Pseudomonadati; Pseudomonadota; Gammaproteobacteria; Enterobacterales; Enterobacteriaceae
Description: bacterial SSU rRNA
Rfam family: Bacterial small subunit ribosomal RNA
Source: RNAcentral